CUUCAAAGAGAGAGCGGCUUUAACUUACAACUGUGAAUUGCUUAAAGAGAAAAGAAUUAAUAAAUGCUGAUUUACUCUGAUGAUUAUUUAGCACAUAAUUCACCUAUUCAUAACGACUCCUAGUAAUCAGACUGUUGUCUUACAUUCUCCAAUAUGAGGCAAGAUUGUUUCCUCAGCAAUUUUACCCUUAUCAGAUUAUCUCGUCUGAUUCGAUUAAUUUUCUUCCAUGAAUCUGCUAACAGUGAUUUGUGAUUUACUUGCCCUGCUCACUAAAGACUGUUAAAAGGAUUUCUCUAACACUCCAGCUAAGAACACGCCAUGCCUCAUCAUUCAGUUCCUCUGAACAACUCUUUCCUCAAAUCGAUUCAGUUGGUUUCAGAGUGAAAUUCAGUGGACACUGGUUAGUUCUGUACCGUAAAAUCAGCUCCUGGAUAAACAGAGAGUUCAGACGCUACCCUUGAUGCAUUUUGUUCUUUUUAGGUUAUAUAUGUCUCAUUCCAACAUGAUACACCUGAACAGUGGUAACUCACAAUCAGGAAGACCAUAUUAUUUUUCACUUUGAAUCAUUAUAAUUUGGAUGUAAACAGGGUUUGAAUUUUUUUUUUUUUUUUUUUUGCAUGAAGUUGUUAUGUACGUACUGACAUGAAACCAACACUGUUUUUGAUGUGAGGGUUUCACAAUCUCCUACGUGAUUCGACCCAUGCCCUCCUCCCUCCCACCAAAUUCCUCUAUAAAGAUUCACUGCUUUCAGAAAGUUGAAUGCUACUGGUUUGAAUUGGUCAAUAAUGACAAACGCGUGGUUUCUAAAUUACUCUAUAUUGUUCUACAGAGAUUACCAGAGUAUAUAUAGCACGGGGGUAUUAAGCAGUAAGAAAACACAGUUCAUAUUGUAUUUGGAUUAUAUUGGCUAGGAGAGAAGUGAAACAAACAGUGUUAGCAAAGAAAUCUAAAGAAAUGCGGCCUGCUGUAAUUGUAGAGAUUCAAAAACCUGAAUAGUACUAAUUAAAAUGAGAGAGCUCAAUUGUUACAAGAGAAACGCUGCUAACAGAGGACUGUAAAUGUUUAGACACCCCUGUGAGUCACCAAAUAAUAAAGGAAAAAGGACAAAAAUGAGAAUUAAGUUAUAAGCCUGGGAGCACCACUGCUCCAUGUCGAAAAAAUAAUUUGUAUCUUUUUUUUUUUCCAAGAGAAAAUGGGAGACUAUAAAAGACUCUGCAGUGAGAGAAAGAAAAAUACCCUGGCUUGACAGCAGUGUACAAAAAUAAAAUGUGCAGAUAAUAAUACAUUUAGCUGCCCAAACAUGGGCAUUUAAUUUCUAGAAAUGAUACAUAAUUGCAACAAUUAGGUGCAUGGCCAUGAAUCUGUAUCUCAAGAUCUUCCUCAUUAGUGAACUUUGUUUAUAAAUGUUGUUUAUUUAUAAAUGUAGCAGUUUCAGUGUUCCUAACCAAAAAUACUUUGAUGGGCGGCAGGGAUCUAUCUCACAGCUUUUAUCAAAAAUCAGAUGCAAAAGAAUUAAAGCAAAAAUUGUAAUAAAAAUGAAUUAAUUCUUCCUAAGUAUACUGAAAUUCAUAUUUUACAUUAAAAUAUAAACUUCAAGCAUUUGUGGCUAAUAACUUUAAAAAGACUUAGAAAAGUAUUGCUAUAGACAAUGCUAAUGACAUAAUAUGUUUAUGUAAUUUAAGCAGUAAAUUUUUCCUCUGAAUACAUAAGCUGUAAUCCCUUAACUUCAUUACUAGGUGAAAUACUGCUUGACAGAGGAAAGCAAAGAGAUUCUGUGAGGCUGCAUAAAUAUUGACAUAAUCUUCACUCUUUCUUCCCCAAACUGGUUAUGGACAUAUCUCAUUCCAUCCUAACAAAGUACUCCCAUAAAACCCAAGCUACUCUUAUAAACAUCGUCUCUGCAGUAAUGAUGAAAAGAAAAAGUGCUUUUCUGGAAAAUACCAACAGUGCUGGCCUUUUAGGGUAAGGACUUGCCUACAAGCCUUUUGGGGAGUCACUCCUUAGGGAUUCCCGGGUUUGCUGAAAGCCAAGGCUGCCAGCAUGAGAGAAAUGAACACAAGUCUAAUCUGGUGUAUGAAGCCAGUGAGUGACACCUCAGGUCUCAUUAUAAAUAGUAAAGUAUGCAGUCGGGUGGGUGAGAGCAUUCUGAAGUGCAAUGUUCAAGAAACUGGCUUAAUAUAUGACUAAGUGUCAGAAGUCAGGUUUUCUGAGAAUUACUUUUCAGAUAAACAACUUUAUAGCACUGCACUUAAUCUUACUUACUAGAGACAUCUCAUUUAUCACUGAAUUACAAGUAACUUUAAUUCUAUUGAUAUUGCCAUAAAGCCCGUUGAAAAUGCAUCCUGGCACUUUUUAAAAAAAGGGUUUGGGGCCCAGUUUGUUACACGGGAUCCUCUUGCAUAAGUCUCCCGGGUCCCCUGGGCUCUUUCUCCACAGUCAAAGGGGACGGUGGGGGAAAAGAAAUGUUCCCCCGCACCUGCCAUCACUGCCUUCAGCCCUUUUCCUGACAAAGUCUGGUUCUCCCACUUGCAGCCAAACUAACUUUCCGCCCCUCUUUCCUCCUCCCACCUAGGGAAACCAGCUUCUUUUCCUUUCAUCAACACAACUGGACACGGAUCAAUUUCAACUGACCUUUGCCGAAAGGUGGCGCUGUUGAGGUACCCAAGGGAAUCCUCUACAUCAGUGAUGUGAAAAUUCCUGUUGCCCGAAGUCAAAGAGAUGUUCCUGACAUUCUCUCAGACCCACCUGGAUGCAUCCGAGCCUUAGCAGAGCCGCCCUGGGCAGGGCAGGUGGGACGCACACACACACACACACAGGGCAGAGGCCUGUUUGUGGCUCUCCCGCUGCCCGUGGGAGAUUCCUGAUGGAAUCUGUAUAAACAGCUCUGCCCCGGGUUCUAAGUGCCCAUCAGGUUUUCUCUCUCCCCAAUCUCACAGUUAGCUGGAAAUGUUUUAUGCUGACUGUACCAUCGCCAAUGUGAAUUCUAACCAACGUAAGGGAGGCUUUCCUCUGUUACGAGCUGGGUUAUAAACAAAAACACAGUAAAAGGACUCCGGAAUCUCGUUUCUAUUUUGUAUAACGUGUCCUCCCACACCGCUGCCCGUGAUCACCCAGAAAUAAAAUGCAAGCAUGGAUGCCUGAUGUCCAGUGUCCAUGUGGGCUCCUGAGCACAGCUGUUUAAUUCAGACAUAGAAUUACAGAUGCUGUUACCGUUAUUUCCCUCGCAGAGUCCAUCAAUGUAUUUUGACAGAAAUGGUGAAUCAGGUGUUCUCAGGCAAAGGCCGUGUGAAACACACAGGACGCAAGCGUUCCCUUCUCAUUGCCUGUGUUUGAAAAGCCCGCGUGAGAACAGUGGCUGGUCUGGACCCUGGCUUCACUGCAGACCCUUCAGGGCCUCUCAGUACUCAGCUUGCAGAGUAAGUGCCCCACCACGGAGGACAGCAAAGAGUCGGGUGCUGCCUGGCAUGCAGAUUUGGAGAGUGGACCAACCCCUCAGAGAUUCCAGGAGUGUGUCUUAAGCAGAUGACAUCACAGUAUGUGCUGGCACUGAGAAAGGAAGGGGAAAUAAUUCUGUUUAAACUGUUUUAGUACCGGGGCUUCCCUCAUCAAAUUGUUUGUUGUUGUUGUUUGUUUAGAUAGCCACCCCCCUUCCCACACAAGGCUGCUUAAUGUCCUUUCCGUGGACACUGGCCCCACUAGUGAGCAGGUUUAAUCAAUCAAUUACGGCAAAGCAAGUACAGGGCAACCAGCUUAAUGAAGUCCCAUUAUUUUCAGUGAUCCUUAGGAUGCUAUUGAAGGGGCUAUCUUAAAGAAAGAAACAUUAUGCAUUCAUUUGGUGGGGGCAGGUGGGUGGGGGGGCGGUGGGGGGAGAAGGAUUUUUGCACACGAGUAUAGCACUUGUUAUUUAAAACAAAAUGAUGCUUCUGUCAAGAGCAUUCCUUCUAAAAGCACACAUUCAGUCACCUGCCAGAAUCUCAGAUUUAUUGCUGCCGUUCACAGAUGCCAAUGUUGAAACUCUCUUCGCCUCCAGCUUGCUGAGUCUUUCGUUUCCUCGAUCCAAAAAUCACUGUAAAGUUGUUGUUUAGUGUCUGCAUUUUUUGCUUUUCCUGGCACCUAAUGAAAUUAUCAGCAAUAAAUGAGCUAUGCAGAA
Long non-coding RNA from Dama dama (fallow deer), 4150 nucleotides. RefSeq lists it as uncharacterized. The transcript has 3 exons. The record is from RefSeq and is a predicted model, not a curated record. Lineage: Eukaryota; Metazoa; Chordata; Mammalia; Artiodactyla; Cervidae.